This 854-nucleotide ribosomal RNA is filed under the name Bacillus tequilensis. Its description in RNAcentral is "bacterial SSU rRNA". It matches the Rfam family "Bacterial small subunit ribosomal RNA", at positions 24 to 859 of the family's 1533-position model. Lineage: Bacteria; Bacillati; Bacillota; Bacilli; Caryophanales; Bacillaceae. The record is from RNAcentral.
UCAGGACGAACGCUGGCGGCGUGCCUAAUACAUGCAAGUCGAGCGGACAGAUGGGAGCUUGCUCCCUGAUGUUAGCGGCGGACGGGUGAGUAACACGUGGGUAACCUGCCUGUAAGACUGGGAUAACUCCGGGAAACCGGGGCUAAUACCGGAUGGUUGUUUGAACCGCAUGGUUCAAACAUAAAAGGUGGCUUCGGCUACCACUUACAGAUGGACCCGCGGCGCAUUAGCUAGUUGGUGAGGUAACGGCUCACCAAGGCAACGAUGCGUAGCCGACCUGAGAGGGUGAUCGGCCACACUGGGACUGAGACACGGCCCAGACUCCUACGGGAGGCAGCAGUAGGGAAUCUUCCGCAAUGGACGAAAGUCUGACGGAGCAACGCCGCGUGAGUGAUGAAGGUUUUCGGAUCGUAAAGCUCUGUUGUUAGGGAAGAACAAGUACCGUUCGAAUAGGGCGGUACCUUGACGGUACCUAACCAGAAAGCCACGGCUAACUACGUGCCAGCAGCCGCGGUAAUACGUAGGUGGCAAGCGUUGUCCGGAAUUAUUGGGCGUAAAGGGCUCGCAGGCGGUUUCUUAAGUCUGAUGUGAAAGCCCCCGGCUCAACCGGGGAGGGUCAUUGGAAACUGGGGAACUUGAGUGCAGAAGAGGAGAGUGGAAUUCCACGUGUAGCGGUGAAAUGCGUAGAGAUGUGGAGGAACACCAGUGGCGAAGGCGACUCUCUGGUCUGUAACUGACGCUGAGGAGCGAAAGCGUGGGGAGCGAACAGGAUUAGAUACCCUGGUAGUCCACGCCGUAAACGAUGAGUGCUAAGUGUUAGGGGGUUUCCGCCCCUUAGUGCUGCAGCUAACGCA